This is a long non-coding RNA of Mus musculus (house mouse), 3329 nucleotides long. RefSeq annotates it as predicted gene, 32741. The transcript is spliced from 4 exons. The record is from RefSeq and is a predicted model, not a curated record. Lineage: Eukaryota; Metazoa; Chordata; Mammalia; Rodentia; Muridae.
CAGCAGAAGGCGCGGCGCAGUGGCUACCUGUGCUCCGAGCGCCCCCGCGGGAGCCGCGCUCUCCAGCAGCUCCAUCUGGCUCUCCUGCGCCACCGCCGCUACGGGAGGCGACUUGGACGUGUCGCUUUGGACCAUCGGCAAAAAGUCGACUCCAAGGCUGCGGGUCCCCUCCUCCACGACCCGGGUCCCCCGCUCCUCUUCGCCCCAGGAUCGGAGGCUCUCAGUGCGCGCGACGCCGCUGAAGCAUGUUGCAAAGCCUAGACUAGGCGGUGGCGCAGGCACGAGGCUGGGUGGCCGGGGCGAGGGGCGCCAGUUCUUUGGAGCUUCUGGGCCCGCGAGCGGCGGAGGCUGGGACUGCUGGGCGGGCUGGCUCCAGGGAAGGUCCCCGCCAGGAGGAGGGCGCUCCGGGAGCACGAGCCAGGGGGGAGGCGCGUCGGAAAGCGAGAGUGACAAACCACCGCCACUCCGAAAAGUUCUUCGCGGGAGGCGCGGGCCGCGUGGGCUCCGACUCAGCUGCGGCCCGUCGCCGUGGCACUCGCGCUGGAAAGUUUUCGAAGCCACGAAAGCCAGCCAGUCGCAGCUCCCUAGGGAGGUAACUGGCCCAGCUGCUCAGUUCACCUCCUCUUCCUGGAGUCCAGAGGAGGAAAAAGAUCCACAGGGUUAGACCCUAAACUGAAACUCUCCAUGAUUCGAAAAAGGCUACAGACAGACCCCGAACUUCUGCAAAAGCAUGAGUGAAAGCACUCGAGGAGUCAGAAAACAAGUGCCAGUGAUGAACUAAGACUUCCUCCCACAUGGUCCUGACCUGACAAUUGGUUCUACUACACCUGUGCCCUAGCUUUUUGGUUUGUGAUGGCCUGUUUUGUUUUUGUUGUCUUUGCUAGGAGCUUGUCUUUGCUAGCAGACUAUAUCGUUCCCGCCCCCAGCGCACCCCCUCCCCGCAGUUGAGAAGUCUUAGUGUAACCGUUGAGACAAAAAUAAGCAGGUUUUUAAGGACCCCGAAAUUCUUGGUAGCACUCACCGAGCAGAAACAAAGUAUAACAGUUGUGCAAGCUGAAAUACACACAGAGACCUUUUACUAAGCACCAGGCAGACGCUGCUUGAAGGCACCAGUUGGAGUCACCAUCUUUUAUCUUUAGGACUGAGUUACAGAAAUGCAAGAGACUCCUGCAGAACUAGACUUAUCAUUGGAUUGGAUGCAUUCAAAUGACUGAUUCCCCUAAGCUGCUGGUUCGUGUUCCUGAGCUCCUUAGUCUUUGAAAUGACGCAUAUUCUGGGCAUGCUCUGAAAUGAGAAAAGGGUCACUGGUAAGAACUCGGGCUGCCAAGGCAAUGAACAGUUUGAAAGGAUGUUUCUGUUCUACAAUGUGAAAGAAUCUACAAUGACCUCUCCUUUUCUAACUGAAGGCCUGUGACCCCAUUGCAAACCUUGAAGCCAUGCUCUUUGGAAAAGAGACUCACCGUGUGUGUGUGUGUGUGUGUGUGUUUGUGUGUGUGUGUGUGUGUGUGUGUGUGUGUGUGUGUGUGUGUGUGUGUGUGUGUUUGUGAUUUCUCAUUUCAUGGAGACCAUUUUUCACCUCACACUUCUGGAUCUCUGUCAUUCUGAAUAGCAUCUGCAUACAAUAGAUCUAUGUUGACCACCAUCCUAACUUACUAGGAUAAUUUCUGUGAAAACAAACAUGUGCUUUUCAUAAAACUAUAAUAUUAAAUGAGGGCCCUGAAUUACAAAAUGUUAUAUUAAAACAAAUAACCCCGCAAGCAUAUCCAGUAUAAAAGACUUGUAUAUAUAUACAUAGUGAAAGACCAAAACUAAAAUAGGCAAGUGGAAAAGGUAAAGUUUCUUCCUCUCCCUUAGAAAAGAUUCCCCAGAAUUUACAUUUCAUGAGUUCUUAGAUUUACCUCCCUGCCAAAAGUCAAAACACACUGAUUUCACAUCUGAUUGCCUUCAUACUCAGUCAUAUCAAACAACGCUUUAUACUCUUGUUUACAAAAGAAGUGUCAAGUCAAGUUCAGGACAUUAUUCUGCCUGCAUGGUAGACAUUAACUAUAUUAUAUGUUAAUGAGGUUAAAUGAGCCCUAAAUAUCUGAAGUACUAUAAAGAAAUGAUUCUUCUGAUAUUGGGGUACCACUCCAUUGAAAGUGGCUCUGCUUCUUGUUCAUGUGUGAGUGCCAGGACUUGAAUGACUGACUACUAAGAUAGCUUCUAGUUCAGCUCUCAGAAUUGCCGAUUUUAUUCUCAUCUGGGUGAGCAAGGAGGCUGGAAAAGGGUGAUAGAACAUGGGGUGGAUGGGGUAGAAGGUGAGGCAUGUAAGGUCAUAUUUGCUAGUCUUAGAAAGUCCUUAUGGCUUCCAUGUACACUAGCUAGAAUCCAGCCACAUGAAUAAGCUGAGAAGUGGGGUCCAGUUUUGCAUCUAAGGAGGACAGGAAGAGUGCACUUGAAGAGCUGGCAGUGACUGGCUUCCCCGGGCAAUAGUUACCUGGGGACAAAGUCAGACAUCAUCUGCCUUCUAAAUUUCAGCUCUCCACUUCUUUCUCAGUCAGCGGCUGUCUGCCUGCCAUACUUCAGCAUGUGCAGAGUAAGUUGAAGCAAAUUUGUAUAUUUUCACAUGUACUCUGUGAUAACUACAGCAACAUAAUUGGGGAUGAUGGGGAGAUGGCUCUGCAUACAGCCCUUGAUGCAUAAGCCAGCAGGACCUGAGUUUGGAUCCCCAGAACUAGGUAAGAUCACAGCAUGGUGGUGAGGAUUUGUAAUUCCAGUGUCUGGGACAAGGAAGGGCACAUUCCAGGACUUGAUAGCAAGCCAGUCUACGUGAAACAAUGAACUCCAGGUAUAAUGGGGUCUCUGCCUCAAAAUAUAAAGUGGGUGAGGGACAGGAGAGAUGGCUCUGUAUUCAAAAUGAAAAGCAGCUGCUGCUCUUGCAAUGGGCCCAGGUCCAGCUUCCAGUACCUACAUGACUGCUCACAACUGACCUUAAUUCUAACUCCAGGGAUCCAACACCCUCUUCUGGCCUCCUUGGACCCCAGCCACAGAUGUGGUCAUAUAAGGAAAAUACUCAGGUACAAACAAAAAGGAUCUGAUGAGAGAGAGAGAGAGAGAGAGAGAGAGAGAGAGAGAGAGAGAGAGAGAGAGGAGAGAAGAGAGAAGAGAGAGAAUAAGUAGGCCAGUGGCUCAGGAGGUAAAGUCAUUUGCCAAACAUAUCUGGCUACCUGCCCAUAUUUGACCUCCUAAAACCAUGUAAAGGUACAAAGAGAGACCUGAAUCAACAGUGGUACUCUGACUUCCACUCAUGAUGAUGAUGGUGGUGGUGGUGAUGAUGACAGAUUAAAAAA